CCUACGGGUGGCAGCAGUCGAGAAUCAUUCACAAUGGGGGAAACCCUGAUGGUGCGACGCCGCGUGGGGGAAUGAAGGUCUUCGGAUUGUAAACCCCUGUCAUGUGGGAGCAAAUUAAAAAGAUAGUACCACAAGAGGAAGAGACGGCUAACUCUGUGCCAGCAGCCGCGGUAAUACAGAGGUCUCAUGCGUUGUUCGGAAUCACUGGGCGUAAAGCGGGCGUAGGCUGUUUCGUAAGUCGUGUGUGAAAGGCGCGGGCUCAACCCGCGGACGGCACAUGAUACUGCGAGACUAGAGUAAGGGAGGGGGAACCGGAAUUCUCGGUGUAGCAGUGAAAUGCGUAGAUAUCGAGAGGAACACUCGUGGCGAAGGCGGGUUCCUGGACAUUAACUGACGCUGAGGCACGAAGGCCAGGGGAGCGAAAGGGAUUAGAUACCCGGGUAGUC
Molecule: ribosomal RNA, 446 nt
Filed under: uncultured bacterium
Lineage: Bacteria
Description: partial 16S ribosomal RNA
Rfam family: Bacterial small subunit ribosomal RNA
Source: RNAcentral